CAAAGGGAUUACCGGUGGCGGAUGGGCAUGCGGCGCAUUAGCUAGUCGGCGGGGUAACGGCCCACCGAGGCGACGAUGCGUAGGGGUUCUGAGAGGAAGGUCCCCCACACUGGUACUGAGACACGGACCAGACUCCUACGGGAGGCAGCAGUGAGGAAUAUUGGUCAAUGGGCGCGAGCCUGAACCAGCCAAGUCGCGUGAGGGAUGACGGUCCUACGGAUUGUAAACCUCUUUUGCCGGGGAGCAAGCGUGCGUUCGUGAACGCGCGUCGAGAGUACCCGGAGAAAAAGCAUCGGCUAACUCCGUGCCAGCAGCCGCGGUAAUACGGAGGAUGCGAGCGUUAUCCGGAUUUAUUGGGUUUAAAGGGUGCGUAGGCGGGAUGCCAAGUCAGCGGUAAAAAUGCGGUGCUCAACGCCGUCGAGCCGUUGAAACUGGCGUUCUUGAGUGGGCGAGAAGUAUGCGGAAUGCGUGGUGUAGCGGUGAAAUGCAUAGAUAUCACGCAGAACUCCGAUUGCGAAGGCAGCAUACCGGCGCCCUACUGACGCUGAGGCACGAAAGCGUG
This 562-nucleotide ribosomal RNA is filed under the name uncultured bacterium. RNAcentral describes it as "bacterial SSU rRNA". It matches the Rfam family "Bacterial small subunit ribosomal RNA", at positions 202 to 763 of the family's 1533-position model. The record is from RNAcentral.